GACACUCUUGGUUGAUUAUUUACAGUUG
RNAcentral lists this small RNA (28 nucleotides) under Bombyx mori (domestic silkworm). RNAcentral describes it as "ovarian small RNA-15372". Lineage: Eukaryota; Metazoa; Arthropoda; Insecta; Lepidoptera; Bombycidae. The record is from RNAcentral.